CUUUCCCUCUGGCGGCAGGCCUAACACAUGCAAGUCGAACGGUAGCACAGAGAGCUUGCUCUCGGGUGACGAGUGGCGGACGGGUGAGUAAUGUCUGGGAAACUGCCCGAUGGAGGGGGAUAACUACUGGAAACGGUAGCUAAUACCGCAUAACGUCUUCGGACCAAAGUGGGGGACCUUCGGGCCUCACACCAUCGGAUGUGCCCAGAUGGGAUUAGCUAGUAGGUGGGGUAAUGGCUCACCUAGGCGACGAUCCCUAGCUGGUCUGAGAGGAUGACCAGCCACACUGGAACUGAGACACGGUCCAGACUCCUACGGGAGGCAGCAGUGGGGAAUAUUGCACAAUGGGCGCAAGCCUGAUGCAGCCAUGCCGCGUGUAUGAAGAAGGCCUUCGGGUUGUAAAGUACUUUCAGCGGGGAGGAAGGCGAUGAGGUUAAUAACCGCAUCGAUUGACGUUACCCGCAGAAGAAGCACCGGCUAACUCCGUG
This 488-nucleotide ribosomal RNA is filed under the name uncultured bacterium. RNAcentral describes it as "partial 16S ribosomal RNA". It matches the Rfam family "Bacterial small subunit ribosomal RNA", at positions 36 to 507 of the family's 1533-position model. The record is from RNAcentral.